Molecule: transfer RNA, 51 nt
Filed under: Gnathostoma binucleatum
Lineage: Eukaryota; Metazoa; Nematoda; Chromadorea; Rhabditida; Gnathostomatidae
Description: tRNA-Tyr
Source: RNAcentral
AAAGAAUAGUUUAGUUUAAAAUGUCGAAUUGUAGAUUCGAAGAAAAGUCUU